Peromyscus eremicus (cactus mouse) is the source of this 105-nucleotide small nuclear RNA. The record is from RefSeq and is a predicted model, not a curated record. Lineage: Eukaryota; Metazoa; Chordata; Mammalia; Rodentia; Cricetidae.
GUGCUCACUUUGGCAGCACAUAUACUAAAACUGGAAUGUUAAAGAGAAGAUUAGCAUGGUCCCUGCACAAGGAUAACACGCAAAUUCGUAGUGUUCCAUAUUUUU